This 70-nucleotide transfer RNA is filed under the name Podarcis muralis (Common wall lizard). It matches the Rfam family "tRNA". Rfam says of the family: Transfer RNA (tRNA) molecules are approximately 80 nucleotides in length. Their secondary structure includes four short double-helical elements and three loops (D, anti-codon, and T loops). Lineage: Eukaryota; Metazoa; Chordata; Lepidosauria; Squamata; Lacertidae. The record is from Rfam by way of RNAcentral. RNAcentral also lists the same sequence under 1 other name.
GGUCAUGGCUCAGUGGCAGAGUAUCUGCCUUGCAUGCAAAAGGUCCCAGGUUCAAUCCCCAGCAUCUCCA